This 461-nucleotide ribosomal RNA is filed under the name uncultured bacterium. Its description in RNAcentral is "bacterial SSU rRNA". It matches the Rfam family "Bacterial small subunit ribosomal RNA", at positions 338 to 795 of the family's 1533-position model. The record is from RNAcentral.
CCUANGGGAGGCAGCAGUAGGGAAUAUUGGACAAUGGGCGAAAGCCUGAUCCAGCCAUCUCGCGUGAAGGAUGAAGGCCCUCUGGGUUGUAAACUUCUUUUAUCAGGGAAGAAACCCCCGGAUUCACUCCGGGGCUGACGGUACCUGAAGAAUAAGCACCGGCUAACUCCGUGCCAGCAGCCGCGGUAAUACGGAGGGUGCAAGCGUUAUCCGGAUUUACUGGGUCUAAAGGGUGCGUAGGCGGGUUUGUAAGUCAGUGGUGAAAGCCUGGAGCUUAACUCCGGAAUUGCCAUUGAUACUGCUUAUCUUGAGUACAGUUGAGGCGGGCGGAAUGUGUCAUGUAGCGGUGAAAUGCUUAGAUAUGACACAGAACACCGAUUGCGAAGGCAGCUCGCUAAACUGUAACUGACGCUGAGGCACGAAAGCGUGGGGAUCGAACAGGAUUAGAUACCCCANUANUC